RNAcentral lists this ribosomal RNA (432 nucleotides) under Oxyrrhis marina. Its description in RNAcentral is "partial Bacterial large subunit ribosomal RNA". It matches the Rfam family "Bacterial large subunit ribosomal RNA", at positions 1 to 477 of the family's 2925-position model. Lineage: Eukaryota; Dinophyceae; Oxyrrhinales; Oxyrrhinaceae. The record is from RNAcentral.
CAACUAAGCGCAUACGGUGGAUGCCUUGGCAGUCAGAGGCGAUGAAGGACGUUGUAGCCUGCGAAAAGCUUCGGGGAGUCGGCAAACAGACUUUGAUCCGGAGAUGUCCGAAUGGGGAAACCCACCUGGUGUAAGCCAGGUAUCUUUAACUGAAUACAUAGGUUAAAGAGGCGAACGAGGGGAACUGAAACAUCUAAGUACCCUUAGGAAAAGAAAUCAAUUGAGAUUCCCCCAGUAGCGGCGAGCGACCGGGGAACAGCCUGCAAGUGAUAGCUUGCGCGUUAGUGGAACGGUCUGGAAAGUCCGGCGAUAGAGGGUGAUAGCCCCGUACACGAAAACGCGCUUGUGGUACUAAGCUUGCGACAAGUAGGUCGGGACACGUGUUAUCUUGACUGAAUAUGGGGGGACCAUCCUCCAAGGCUAAAUACUCCU